GUAUUCUCCAUCUCAAUUUAUGUUUUGGUUGUUCACUUUCAAAGCAAGGUUAUAUUGUGAGCUAAAUACAUAAAAUCCAACAUUUCUUAAAUUUGUAUUAGAGUCAGGUUUUCUGAAUGUAAUGCUUUCCAGUCCUUGGAUCUCAGAGGUCAAAGAAAUACCAUUCUUCUCUGCUAAAGACCUCAGAUAUAUGAUAGCAGGUUUUAAAAAAAAUUUUUAAGAGUUACAUUUCCUCUUUCAGUCAUUUUUUUAAAAAGGAAAAAAGAUCUAGAUCCUUUGAUAGAUAACUAACUCCCUAUUCAAUCCAAAUUUGGAAAGGUGGCCCAUAGAAAUCAGUGACAGAUGGUGAUGAUUUCUU
Molecule: long non-coding RNA, 358 nt
Filed under: Bos taurus (domestic cattle)
Lineage: Eukaryota; Metazoa; Chordata; Mammalia; Artiodactyla; Bovidae
Description: long non-coding RNA NONBTAT001663
Source: RNAcentral